AAAUAAUAUAAGCUUACCAAAUAUUAAUCAAAUAGCAAUCUAUGCCUAUGUAUAAAAGAUUUUGAGAAAAAUAAACACACUGGAGUAAAAAACUUAUGAAAAGUGUAAGGGAUCAUUUAGGAAAACCAAGACUAAUAGAAAUAAAAAAUAAAUUAGAGUUCAAUUUUAAUAUAUAUACUUGAUUUGGUUUUUGUAAUAUGCACAGCAAGCAUGUGAGCUCCCCAG
Molecule: long non-coding RNA, 225 nt
Filed under: Elaeis guineensis (African oil palm)
Lineage: Eukaryota; Viridiplantae; Streptophyta; Magnoliopsida; Arecales; Arecaceae
Description: long non-coding RNA (EGUI_LNC029856)
Source: RNAcentral